Molecule: long non-coding RNA, 415 nt
Filed under: Bos taurus (domestic cattle)
Lineage: Eukaryota; Metazoa; Chordata; Mammalia; Artiodactyla; Bovidae
Description: long non-coding RNA NONBTAT011228
Source: RNAcentral
UGAAGACUGAUAUAUUCAUAACAUGUAUUAAUCAAGAGAUAAAUUCAGAUGAGUGUAAGGAUACAGUUCUUAAAGCUGAAGGCUUAGGUUGCUUAAUAGUUUAUUUUAUAUAGAUUAAAAACUUUGAAUUUUCUGUUUUUAUUUUUAACUGAUAGGCAUUUAGUGAAUGUCACUAAAAUGCAUUCUCACUCCCUCCCAAAAAGAAUUACAGUUAAAUACACUUUUCCUCUAGAUUAUUAAAUAUAUCCAUGCUAAUGUUAUUUUUAUGGUGAACCACACAUAAUACUUAUAAACAAAACAAUUUAAUGCAGUUAUUUUCCUACAGGAAAAAGAAAAAUAAUACAGAAAAGUAAGAAGGUCAGAAAGGUAGCAUAUUAACCUUGGUUCAUAAGCAUCUGCCCAUUAUUUUUUAAAG